Molecule: ribosomal RNA, 270 nt
Filed under: uncultured prokaryote
Description: partial 16S ribosomal RNA
Rfam family: Archaeal small subunit ribosomal RNA
Source: RNAcentral
UACCUGCAGCUCGAGUGGUGGCCGCUAUUAUUGGGCCUAAAACGUCCGUAGCCGGUUUAGUAAAUGCCUGGGUAAAUCGUAUAGCUCAACUAUACGAAUUCCGGGUAGACUGCUAAACUUGAGACCGGGAGAAGUUAGAGGUACUCCUGGGGUAGAGGUGAAAUUCUGUAAUCCUAGGGGGACCACCAGUGGCGAAGGCGUCUGACUAGAACGGGUCUGACGGUGAGGGACGAAGCCCUGGGGCGCAAACCGGAUUAGAUACCCCCCGUA